CGUGCGCAGGCGGUUAUGUAAGACAGAUGUGAAAUACCCCGGGCCGUCAACCUGGGAACGUGCAUUUGUGACUGCAUGGCUAGAGUACGGUAGAGGGGGAUGGAAUUCCGCGUGUAGCAGUGAAAUGCGUAGAUAUGCGGAGGAACACCGAUGGCGAAGGCAAUCCCCUGGACCUGUACUGACGCUCAUGCACGAAAGCGUGGGGAGCAAACAGGAUUAGAUACCCUUGU
RNAcentral lists this ribosomal RNA (230 nucleotides) under uncultured bacterium. Its description in RNAcentral is "partial 16S ribosomal RNA". It matches the Rfam family "Bacterial small subunit ribosomal RNA", at positions 567 to 791 of the family's 1533-position model. The record is from RNAcentral.